AUUCCAUAGAGAUCACCAGGUGCUCGCGAGAGCUGAAUAGGGAAGCCGGUGUAAGUCCGGCACGGUCCCGCCACUGUAUGUGGGGAGCGACCUCCAAGUUGCCACUGUAACCCGUUGGGGUAUGGGAAGGCGGAGGAAGCGUUGAUCCAUAAGUCAGGAGACCUGCCUGUGUGUGCAGUCCAUC
Molecule: non-coding RNA, 184 nt
Filed under: Tumebacillus flagellatus
Lineage: Bacteria; Bacillati; Bacillota; Bacilli; Caryophanales; Alicyclobacillaceae
Source: RNAcentral